Molecule: ribosomal RNA, 168 nt
Filed under: Oplopomus caninoides (triplespot goby)
Lineage: Eukaryota; Metazoa; Chordata; Actinopteri; Gobiiformes; Gobiidae
Description: partial 12S rRNA
Source: RNAcentral
CACCGCGGUUAUACGAGAGGCCCAAGUAGACAGAGCCCGGCGUAAAGAGUGGUUAAUAUGAAAUUAACUAAAGCUAAACACCUUCAGAGCUGUCAUACGUUCCCGAAGGCAGGAAACCCUUUAACGAAAGUAGCUUUAACUAAAUAUGACCCCACGAAAGCUAGGGUA